GAGGGUAUAGCCCAGUGGUAGAGCACAUGCUUAGAAUACAAGAGGUUCUGGGUUCAAUCCCCAGUACCUCUA
This 72-nucleotide transfer RNA is filed under the name Camelus bactrianus (Bactrian camel). It matches the Rfam family "tRNA". Rfam says of the family: Transfer RNA (tRNA) molecules are approximately 80 nucleotides in length. Their secondary structure includes four short double-helical elements and three loops (D, anti-codon, and T loops). RNAcentral also lists the same sequence under 2 other names. The record is from Rfam by way of RNAcentral. Lineage: Eukaryota; Metazoa; Chordata; Mammalia; Artiodactyla; Camelidae.